Triticum aestivum (bread wheat) is the source of this 1312-nucleotide long non-coding RNA. RefSeq lists it as uncharacterized. The transcript has 2 exons. NCBI's taxonomy places the organism in Eukaryota, Viridiplantae, Streptophyta, Magnoliopsida, Poales, Poaceae. The record is from RefSeq and is a predicted model, not a curated record.
UGCCUGUAAAUCAGAAUGCACGAAUGUCAGCACCGGCAGCACUAGGUGGGCUGCAUAGAAUGUACGAACUAUGAAAUACACUUAGGUAAGUAACACAAAAGCUUAUGUUGUAUCAAUAAAAAAUACUGAUGCUUGUCAUUGACUCGUGCCUGCAGGUCUGUGCGCACUUUAAUGUGAUGAAAAAUAUUGCAAUUCUUCUUUAUUUGGUACUACAAAGGAAGUAUUACCUUCUCACCAAGAGCAUCUUGAAUUAUGACCGUAUCGCUAGACAUUCUAGAAACUGCUUCACCAGUUGUCAUUUCUGUAUCGAAGAAUGCAAUAUCCUGUCUCAGAACAGAUUUCAGGUACAAAGAACGGAUGCGGGCUGACUGCCUUUCUCCUGCCAUUGUCCAGCAUGCCACCUCUGGAAGAAAAUGAAGGAAAACAUGCAUUCCAAGAAUUGAAUGGAAGUUCCACUUACGAAGAAAGGCAGCAACUGUUGUCCCGAUGCCCAAAUAUAUGAAGUUGAGAACAACCUGGAGAUAAAAAGAAUAUUCUCUGUUAACCCAACUAGCCACUCUUCAAGUUAAGUGAUCACCAUAAGCCGUGGCGCACCUUGGUGACAGCACGGAGGACGGUGCUCCUCGCGCUCUCGCCGAAGGAGUUGAUGACGUCCCCAAAGAGGACCGAGAUGAGGGGCUCCGACACGCCGUUGCCCACCGCCCCGAGCGAGCCGACCACCAUGAGCAGCAUGUCGAGGCGGUCGGCGUACCUGAACAUGCCGAGCAACGGCACCUUCUUCUCCGGCCGGUCAUCUUUUCCGCCGUGGGCGUGGCGUGCUCCUUCUCCACUACUAGCUUCUGCUGUCGCGUCCAUUUCCUGGCUGCUACUUGCUUUGUUGAUGUGCUCAACGACGAGCCUGGCCGCACUGCGCUGUGUGUAGUUCCUGUCCCCGGGGGUGGUGGAGGCACUAUAUAUACGCAUCUUGCGGGCCGCCCGGAGUGCCUUUGACUGUUGGGCUGAUUGGGUGCUCCGGAGCUGGAAGCGACCGGGAAAGUUUGCCAUGGAAUCUUCUCAAAAAAAAAAAAAGUUUGCCAUGGAAAAUUACACGGACUAUGUUACAGCAUGUGAUUAAUCAUGGGAAAGUUCACAACUCUUGCUGCUGCAGGUGCGACAAUUCAAGAUUCAUGGCGUACUUUUGUGCUUUGUCAAGCGUAGUCAGUCGGAUGGAUUGCGUUAAUCUUGUGAUCUGAGGUGCGCUAAGCUAGUUGGGCUCUUUGGUGUUCACAGAUAAUUGCUCUUGGAAAAAAAGAAAAGGUCACACCACGCUUUA